UACGAAGGGUGCAAGCGUUACUCGGAAUUACUGGGCGUAAAGCGUGCGUAGGUGGUUUUUUAAGUCCGUUGUGAAAGCCCUGGGCUCAACCUGGGAAUGGCAGUGGAUACUGGAAAGCUAGAGUGCGGUAGAGGGUAGUGGAAUUCCCGGUGUAGCAGUGAAAUGCGUAGAGAUCGGGAGGAACCCCAGUGGCGAAGGCGGCUCCCUGGACCAGCACUGACACUGAGGCAGGAAAGCGUGGGAGCAAACAGG
RNAcentral lists this ribosomal RNA (252 nucleotides) under uncultured bacterium. Its description in RNAcentral is "partial 16S ribosomal RNA". It matches the Rfam family "Bacterial small subunit ribosomal RNA", at positions 524 to 776 of the family's 1533-position model. The record is from RNAcentral.